Lytechinus variegatus (green sea urchin) is the source of this 164-nucleotide long non-coding RNA. RefSeq lists it as uncharacterized. The transcript has 3 exons. Lineage: Eukaryota; Metazoa; Echinodermata; Echinoidea; Temnopleuroida; Toxopneustidae. The record is from RefSeq and is a predicted model, not a curated record.
GAAGCCUUUCUCGCAAAGGUCCAAGCUGUUGGUCUCAUUACUAGCCCUCUGUUCAGGAACAGUCUUGCUGCCAUUCUUCAAAUUGUCCUUAUUCCUUGAGAUCUUCUAGUUCUGGUCGUUCUUCUAAUCGUUCACUCAGAGCCCAGUCCAAAGACUAAGUCGAA